RNAcentral lists this ribosomal RNA (241 nucleotides) under Rhizobium gallicum. RNAcentral describes it as "partial 16S ribosomal RNA". It matches the Rfam family "Bacterial small subunit ribosomal RNA", at positions 81 to 339 of the family's 1533-position model. The record is from RNAcentral. Lineage: Bacteria; Pseudomonadati; Pseudomonadota; Alphaproteobacteria; Hyphomicrobiales; Rhizobiaceae.
GCCCCGCAAGGGGAGCGGCAGACGGGUGAGUAACGCGUGGGAAUCUACCUUUUGCUACGGAAUAACUCAGGGAAACUUGUGCUAAUACCGUAUGUGCCCUUCGGGGGAAAGAUUUAUCGGCAAAGGAUGAGCCCGCGUUGGAUUAGCUAGUUGGUGGGGUAAAGGCCCACCAAGGCGACGAUCCAUAGCUGGUCUGAGAGGAUGAUCAGCCACACUGGGACUGAGACACGGCCCAUACUCC